AUGUAGCGCAAUAGAUAGCGUGUUGGGCUUUUAAUCUUAAAUUCGUGGGUUCGAAUCCCAUCUGAAAUG
Molecule: non-coding RNA, 69 nt
Organism: Trichonephila clavata
Lineage: Eukaryota; Metazoa; Arthropoda; Arachnida; Araneae; Nephilidae
Source: the annotation of a GenBank genome assembly